This 497-nucleotide ribosomal RNA is filed under the name uncultured bacterium. Its description in RNAcentral is "partial 16S ribosomal RNA". It matches the Rfam family "Bacterial small subunit ribosomal RNA", at positions 28 to 507 of the family's 1533-position model. The record is from RNAcentral.
GAUGAACGCUGGCGGCGUGCCUAAUACAUGCAAGUCGAGCGAACAGACGAGGAGCUUGCUCCUCUGACGUUAGCGGCGGACGGGUGAGUAACACGUGGAUAACCUACCUAUAAGACUGGGAUAACUUCGGGAAACCGGAGCUAAUACCGGAUAAUAUAUUGAACCGCAUGGUUCAAUAGUGAAAGACGGUUUUGCUGUCACUUAUAGAUGGAUCCGCGCCGCAUUAGCUAGUUGGUAAGGUAACGGCUUACCAAGGCAACGAUGCGUAGCCGACCUGAGAGGGUGAUCGGCCACACUGGAACUGAGACACGGUCCAGACUCCUACGGGAGGCAGCAGUAGGGAAUCUUCCGCAAUGGGCGAAGGCCUGACGGAGCAACGCCGCGUGAGUGAUGAAGGUCUUCGGAUCGUAAAACUCUGUUGUUAGGGAAGAACAAAUGUGUAAGUAACUAUGCACGUCUUGACGGUACCUAAUCAGAAAGCCACGGCUAACUACGUG